RNAcentral lists this ribosomal RNA (245 nucleotides) under uncultured Lactobacillus sp. RNAcentral describes it as "partial 16S ribosomal RNA". It matches the Rfam family "Bacterial small subunit ribosomal RNA", at positions 118 to 355 of the family's 1533-position model. The record is from RNAcentral. Lineage: Bacteria; Bacillati; Bacillota; Bacilli; Lactobacillales; Lactobacillaceae.
UGGGGAACCUGCCCCAUAGUCUGGGAUACCACUUGGAAACAGGUGCUAAUACCGGAUAAGAAAGCAGAUCGCAUGAUCAGCUUUUAAAAGGCGGCGUAAGCUGUCGCUAUGGGAUGGCCCCGCGGUGCAUUAGCUAGUUGGUAAGGUAAAGGCUUACCAAGGCGAUGAUGCAUAGCCUAGUUGAGAGACUGAUCGGCCACAUUGGGACUGAGACACGGCCCAAACUCCUACGGGAGGCAGCAGUC